AGCAGCCGCGGUAAUUCCAGCUCCAAUAGCGUAUAUUAAAGUUGCUGCAGUUAAAAAGCUCGUAGUUGAAUUUCGGGACCGGUAUAUCGGUCGUGCCUCGGUACGUACUGGUAUUUUCGGUUUCUCCCUUCUGACGAACCUUGAUGUCAUUAAUUUGGUGUCUUGGGGAAUCAGGACUGUUACUUUGAAAAAAUUAGAGUGUUUAAAGCAGGCUCACGCUUGAAUACAUUAGCAUGGAAUAAUGAAAUAGGACGUUUGAUUCUAUUUUGUUGGUUUCUAGGAUCGACGUAAUGAUUAAUAGGGAUAGUUGGGGGCAUUAGUAUUCAAUUGUCAGAGGUGAAAUUCUUGGAUUUAUUGAAGACUAACUACUGCGAAAGCAUUUGCCAAGGAUGUUUUCAUUAAUCAAGAACGAAAGUUAGGGGAUCGAAGACGAUCAGAUACCGUCGUAGUCUUAACCAUAAACUAUGCCGACUAGGGAUCGGAUGAUGUUAAUUUUUUAAUGACUCAUUCGGCGCCUUAC
Molecule: ribosomal RNA, 520 nt
Filed under: uncultured Glomus
Lineage: Eukaryota; Fungi; Glomeromycota; Glomeromycetes; Glomerales; Glomeraceae
Description: SSU rRNA
Rfam family: Eukaryotic small subunit ribosomal RNA
Source: RNAcentral